UAUUUUGUUAAAGUUUAAUUAAUACGUGCAGAAUUGAAAGUGCUGUUGAAGCCGAACAGUUGGAGGAAGAUCAUGCUGGUCACAGCCAUGAUCAUGAUCAUGGUCACCACCAUCAUCAUGAUCAUGAACAUGAUCACCACAAACAUGAACACCAUGAUGGUCACCAUUCCCACGAUCAUACUCAUGACCCUGGCGUUUCUUCAGUCAGCAUAGUUUGUGAAGGGAGCUUGGAUCUCGAAAAGGCCAACAUGUGGCUAGGCACACUGUUAAUAGAAAGGAGCGAAGACAUAUAUCGGAUGAAAGGUCUUCUAUCAGUUGAUGGAAUGAACGAGAGAUUUGUCUUUCAGGUGAUUGAAUUUUUCAAAGCUUU
Molecule: long non-coding RNA, 370 nt
Organism: Olea europaea var. sylvestris
Lineage: Eukaryota; Viridiplantae; Streptophyta; Magnoliopsida; Lamiales; Oleaceae
Exons: 3
Source: RefSeq, a predicted model, not a curated record